RNAcentral lists this ribosomal RNA (197 nucleotides) under uncultured bacterium. RNAcentral's name for it is "partial 16S ribosomal RNA". It matches the Rfam family "Bacterial small subunit ribosomal RNA", at positions 328 to 539 of the family's 1533-position model. The record is from RNAcentral.
ACGCUCGACACCUACGGGAGGCAGCAGUGGGGAAUAUUGCACAAUGGGGGAAACCCUGAUGCAGCGACGCCGCGUGGAGGAAGAAGGUCUUCGGAUUGUAAACUCCUGUUGUUGGGGAAAAGAGGAUGGUACCCAACAAGGAAGUGACGGCUAACUACGUGCCCGCAGCCGCGGUAAUCUGAGCGGGCUGGCAAGGC